Non-coding RNA from Micropterus salmoides (largemouth bass), 687 nucleotides. The record is from the annotation of a RefSeq genome assembly. Lineage: Eukaryota; Metazoa; Chordata; Actinopteri; Centrarchiformes; Centrarchidae.
ACAAUGAUGAUGUCACUGAUUCUACUGCUGGCCACCCUGGGGCUCCUUGUUCAGGAUUCAUCAGGAGAAAUCAUCCUGACUCAGUCUCCUGGAGCUCAGUCUGUUGUUCCAGGACAGACUGUCUCUCUCAGAUGUAAAGCCAGUUCACUUAUAGGUGAUGACAUUAACUGGUACCUUCAGAAACCUGGAGAAGCUCCAAAACUCCUCAUUUAUGAUACUACAGCUCGUCAGCCUGGAGUUUCAGAUCGUUUCAGUGCAACAGCCCAACAGACUGACUUCACUUUGACCAUCAGAGGAGUCCAGACUGAAGAUGCAGGAGUUUAUUACUGUCAGCAGCGUAACAGCUUCCCACUCACACAGUGAUACAACGUCAUACAAAAACCUCUCGCAGCUGGAGAGGAACUGAUCUGAUCAACAGCUGCACAGAAAAUUAAACAUAAGACAUGACAAAAAUAUUUCUCAUAAUUAUGUGUAAAUUAAUAACAUUUCAAACAUGACAGUACUGCAUUUAUGGACCAUGAUUUUGGGUGAAGAAUACAUUUAUAAACUUCUCUAACUUUUAGUCAACUGAUGUCAACUGUGUCAUUAGACAGUUCAUACAGAUGACAAUUCUUACUCUUUUUAAUAAAUUCAACACAAAACUCAGUGCAAAAGUAAAUCACUACAAAUGAAAUUGUACUAUAAAAC